GCUGGGCUGUGGCCCCGCGCUCUAUGCCCUGGGCCAGGCUGCUGCUGGAGAGGGGACGGGCCCCAUGUGGCUGAUGGAGUGCAGGGGGACGGAGCUGUCUCUGCAGGACUGCUGGGCCCAGCCAGGGGACAGCAGUGCCUGCCAGCAUAAGGCAGAUGCGGCUGUGCAUUGCUCAGGUGAGCAGUGGGGCUGGGAGACAUUGCUGAGGGCUUAGCAAGGAGCUGGCUUGGGCGUAUGUCCUGCUGGAUCCUGGCAUGGCCCUGGUACAGGCCUGAGCAAGGUUGUCCCUGCAGAGUGGGAGGCUGGUGGUGGGUGGGGAGCAGCCUCUGUGGGGCUGGAUGUCCCAGCACAUCCCCUGGGCUGCCUGCACUGUCCUGUGAGCAGCCCAGAGCAGUGGUGCCCUUGCCACCCUGCCCAGCCCCACAGGAGGGAAAAUUCAGGUGGCACAUGUUGGGGUCAUUUUCCAGGGAGGCUGCCUGGUGCCACAGCCCCAGCCUCUCAGCCCAGCUCUCCUUCUGCUCCCCUGCAGCUGCACCCAGGACAGCAAUACUCCCCCCACAAGCAGAUCCCCCACGGGGCCGUCCAACCACCAGCAGCGAGAGACUCUCGGUGCCUGUCGUCAUCUGCAUCAUCCUGGGGGCCCUCCUCUGCCUGCUCCUGGCCCUCCUGGCUGGGCAGGUGCGAAGUGCCAGGGCUCGGCGCAGAGGUGGGUCCUUCCCCAGUGGUCCUGGGGGGAGAUGCCUCUUGGCAGGGCUGGGGGUGUUGGUGUCCUGGGGUACAGAAACAGAGCUGUGUGCUGCCUCCUGCCCCAUGUGCUGGCCCACUGACUGACAGACCAUGGGGCACCAACAUCAAGGGGUGGAGAGAGCCCAGAGCCUGAGGCAUCCGUUCUGGGGUGAGAAGAGAAAUGUGAGAUCUGGGCUGGGUGAGACGGGGAGGAUGCACUGCUGGCAGUGCUCUGGGCAGCACUGGCAGGAGGAGCGUGGGGCAGCGGAGUCCAUCACUGUGGUGUCAGCCACCUCCCAACAGGACACGGGCUGUGCUAUUGCUGUGUGGGGCAGAGAUGGAGAAGAUCCAUGGGGAAGGGAAAUGAGGGAACUGGUGCAGGGUCUGCACUGGGACGUGACCCAGGGACCAAAGGGGAACAAGGGCUGUCUCCAAAGGGAUGGUGCGAGGCUGACUGCACCCCAGACCAUCUCCAUGGGGAUGCUGCCCUCCCUGGGGAUGUGGUUGCAGUGCCAACAC
RNAcentral lists this long non-coding RNA (1245 nucleotides) under Anas platyrhynchos platyrhynchos (common mallard). RNAcentral describes it as "lncRNA (ENSAPLG00000018474.1)". The record is from RNAcentral. Lineage: Eukaryota; Metazoa; Chordata; Aves; Anseriformes; Anatidae.